UACGUAGGGGGCAAGCGUUGUCCGGAAUUAUUGGGCGUAAAGAGCGUGUAGGCGGUCCGGUAAGUCAGCUGUGAAAGUCAAGGGCUCAACCCUUGAAAGCCGGUUGAUACUGUCGGGCUAGAGUCCGGAAGAGGCGAGUGGAAUUCCCGGUGUAGCGGUGAAAUGCGCAGAUAUCGGGAGGAACACCAAUGGCGAAGGCGGCUCUCUGGGACGGUACUGACGCUGAGACGCGAAAGCGUGGGGAGCGAACAGG
Molecule: ribosomal RNA, 253 nt
Filed under: uncultured bacterium
Lineage: Bacteria
Description: partial 16S ribosomal RNA
Rfam family: Bacterial small subunit ribosomal RNA
Source: RNAcentral